UGGGAAUCAAUAGGAUCUGACAGACUAAGUAUAACUCUGCAGUCACAAACAUGAGUUUAACUAACUUCAGAAAUAUUACUUAGACUGCCUGAAGAUGAAAAUUGGCCUUUUCCUCUACUGAGGGGAAAAAACCCUACUAUUUACUGCACUGUAGCCAUGUAGAGAUUUCACCUUCCUACCGAUGUGCUGCUCUCCUGAUAAGAAACUGUUUAAUCUCUCUGACCCAGGGAACACUGCCUUUCCCGAUUCUCCAAAAGAAGCAAAGACAUGCAAUACGCCUUCAUCUCGAACGUGUCCAGAGCCCUGAACGAAGCAGCGUGACAGGACGUGCAUCAAAGCUGCAACUAGGGUUGAGACUUAUCGGUACCGGAUGCGGCGUGGGGCUGCUGGAGGAGGGCAGAGAUGAGGAAGGAAGGACCAAGACCCUCACAGAGCAAAGGGAGGGUAGAAAACAGACGAUCGUUUCCCCCUCCCUAAUGAAGCAUCCCUCAGCAGGUAUUCCUAAAGUGUUUUGCUCCAACUCAUUGUGGCCACACCAAGCUGCCGACAGGGCCAACAUCUCACCACGAGCUCCCAUGAAAGGCAGCUUUAAGCACAACCAGCUUUGGCCCUGAAGACACAUACAGCUGUCAGAGCGGCUGUGUUUUUCAGGGAUGGGCGUGAGGCUGUGCAUGGGCCAGCUUUCCCGCUCUGGGAGGAGCUGCUUGCACCUCAACCAGGUAACAGGGACUGUGACCUGUAAAGGAAGUGCCUCUGCCCAAGACACUGUGGCAAAACAUUCUCCGAGUGUCUCUUCCUUCACUGAGCCGUGGCACGGUCAGUGUCUGGUGACCAGAACAUGAAUCCUGUUGUACUUGGCAUCUUUCUCAAAGCCUCAGCUACUGAAAGCACUUAAUUAUUUGAGAAUUUUAACCUUCCAUCAGAACAAAUAAAAUGCAAUGCAAUGCAGCUGUUUAGCUCUGAUGGCUUUCGAUAACAGUUU
This is a long non-coding RNA of Struthio camelus australis, 982 nucleotides long. RefSeq lists it as uncharacterized. The record is from RefSeq and is a predicted model, not a curated record. Lineage: Eukaryota; Metazoa; Chordata; Aves; Struthioniformes; Struthionidae.